AAACUUCUCUCUCACGUGUCCCUCUCCCUCACCACUUACCACUCACCUUUAAUUCAACCAAUUAAAUCACAUACAAGGACAAGAAAAAGAGGAAAAUCAGUAACCUUCCCUAUUCUUUCUCUCUUCCACGAGACAACAACAACAACACUCCAAAUCACCUCUUCUCUCAAUCAUUCACAUUACAUGCAAAGUUAAGAAAAAUGAAUUGAAGCUAAUUCCUUUCUCUCUUCUCUCUCUCGUGCUGCUAUCAACAAAACAACAACUUGACC
This 269-nucleotide long non-coding RNA is filed under the name Trifolium pratense (red clover). Its description in RNAcentral is "long non-coding RNA (TPRA_LNC011044)". Lineage: Eukaryota; Viridiplantae; Streptophyta; Magnoliopsida; Fabales; Fabaceae. The record is from RNAcentral.